UUCUCUACUAGUGCCGAAAUC
Molecule: microRNA, 21 nt
Filed under: Dictyostelium discoideum
Lineage: Eukaryota; Evosea; Eumycetozoa; Dictyosteliales; Dictyosteliaceae
Description: ddi-miR-7097
Source: miRBase by way of RNAcentral